CUGGUCGCCGAGGUCCCGUCACCUCCGCAGGGGCUUGCGUUGGGUCGGGGUCCUGAAGGAGGGGUGUUGCUGAGACUGUUCCCCACUGCAGGUCCUGGCGUUCCUCGUGGCUGCAGAGCAGAAGGGCACAUCCCCAGGAGGUCAGAGGAGAGAGGAUGCCUGCAAGCGUGCCUCAUGCCGUGCCAAGCGUGAACUGGCUGCUCUCGUUUAACUGCCCUGACGCAAGGAGCUCUUUCCCCAGGUACUGUAAGGACCCAUCCCAAACAUCCUCUGGUUUUCAGCUGGUGCCUGCACACUGGGAUUCUAUCAGGAUAACACAAACCCAGCACGAGGUACAGUGUGGUCAUGCUGCUCUUUAGCACCAGGAGGCAGGAAAAUUUGGGAUCUGUUUCCAGCCAUCCCGCUGGGACCACUCCAUGUGCACAGGGGAACCGGACCUACAGCUCCUCUGGACUUUCAGCUUAGGAUCGCACUUGUGUAGAAACGCUUUGUAAGUCCCAUAUAUUGUCAGUAUAACCAAUUAAAGUUUAAUAAGGUGCUUGGUGGUAGUGCUGCUAAAAGAGUAGCUGUGAAACCAUUUGAUUUCUGAUCAUCCCCUGGAGGACACAUCGCAAGAAAUUAAUAGUUACCAAGAAGCUGCCUCCUCUGGCGUGUGCUGAAAAACGUGAAGGAGUCCUGUUUAUCUGCAUCACCUGGAUUUGAAGAUCAAGGAUUUUACUCAGCCCUGAAAGAUGCAGCUGUCUCCAGAAGGCUUGCUCUCGCUGCUGUAUUUGUGUGGGGGCAGGAUGAUCGCUUGCUCCCUGUGGCUGUGUGUGAAGUAACGGGGCCUGUGGUCGCCUUUAGUUCUCUCCACUUUCAUUGCCUGUACCUCGGUCACAACCUGAAGAAGUAAAGCAGCUCCUGCCGAUCUCCCCACCAGAACUGUGCUACUGCAGAGCCACCAUCCAAGCAGUGAGGGACAUUUUCCUCCCUCUCCCCAAGACAAAGAGGUUCCAGGGACACAUUUGUGCCUCUUCCUGUCGUUUGUCCCAGCUCUUUACCUGUAGAAAAUUCACAGCUCGUCCUAAAUUCACUGGAUUCAGCAGGUACAAAUAUAUUCCGGAGUGUAAAAUCCUUGCAGGAGCAUCCAGCGCUGUAAUAUAGGUUUAAUUCCUGAGCCAUUAGGAAUAAUUCGCUUAACAGCUGAUGCCUGAGCUGUGAAAGGAGCCACCAAAUCCAAUUCUCUUCCUCUUGAAGCAUUUUUUAGGCAUCUGAGGCUUUUGAAAUUAGCAGGGUUUCUCUUGAAUUGGCAUUAGAAAUAGUGUGCUGCUUGAAAUAAGGUGUUUAAAAUAACCGUGAGCUCUUACACAGUGCUCUCCUGUCACCGAGAUCUGUCCCACGCUGGUGGCAGUGCCGAGGACGAAGGGGGACGACUCCGGCCGGGCGACAGCAGGGUCCUCCCUAGAUCUGCUGCGAUUUGUGCUGACAGUGGUCAGGGAAUCAGCUUUUGUGAGCCGUGAGCUGUUACAUCCUGCACUUUAGUGGUAGGGGAAAGAGCUCUUGAUAAAUCUAAGUCGAUCCCUUCUCCCAAAAUACCUUGCAUAAUGGCAUUUAAGUGUGUGUUAAGCGAGAGUUUUUUACACUGUCUUAAAUCCAGACUCCCAAACUUGCCUUUAAAAAAAAAAAAAAAGAAAAAAAAAGAAGUAACUUUUUAAUGUUUUUAUCUGUUUCUUUUUGUUUCUUUGUGAUAUAUAAAGAAGGCCUGGAAAGUUAACUCUGCUUCUGUAUCAACUGUUCUGUUUGCAUCUGCACACCAGAAAUACCCGAUUUUAUCUUCCCCGGUUUUGCUGAAGGACCCAGAAAGAACGGGAGAACUGCUGGGAAUCGGGCAAAGAACCAAGAGGGCAAAGUGAGUGUCUGCUCUGCACGAACACCUCACUCGUGAGGGAUAAAUGAAUCUUAAGCUGCCGCUGUGGGUGGUGAGAGACCCGUCCCUGGGUGCUGAAGGGCAGCAGGCCGCUUUGGUAUCCCUGCCAGCGCCAGCCAAGGCACCACUAACAAAGAGCUGCGGCUGUGACAGGAAAAAGGUUUGGGUUUUUUUUUUUUCUCAUUUUCGGUGGCCCAAGAAAAUAAAUUAACAGAUGGUGUUCA
Molecule: long non-coding RNA, 2130 nt
Organism: Athene cunicularia (burrowing owl)
Lineage: Eukaryota; Metazoa; Chordata; Aves; Strigiformes; Strigidae
Source: Ensembl